Molecule: long non-coding RNA, 12744 nt
Filed under: Manihot esculenta (cassava)
Lineage: Eukaryota; Viridiplantae; Streptophyta; Magnoliopsida; Malpighiales; Euphorbiaceae
Description: long non-coding RNA (MESC_LNC006312)
Source: RNAcentral
CCCGAUAUACAGCAGAGCCGGAUUGCUCCUCACAAUUGCAUUCCUAACAUAACAAAUGCUGUUCAGCUAGCUCUCUCAAGUCUUCAUACAGGCGGCUGGCAGAGGAUAACUGGUGCUGGAUCACGUCGCAUGGUGGUAUAUGUAUGUUUGCAGAUAGGAUUUCUCUCAAGAAUGUUGUUGACUCCUAAUGGCAUUGUGUUGUUGCAAAUGUUAUUUGUGAUUUUGGUUACAACUUGUAGAGAUCAAUCUCAGCUAAUUAAAAAAAAAUAUAUAUAUAUAUAACAAUUCAUUUGCCAAUCAUUCUCGAUUGCCCAACAUCCAUCUUCAAGCCGGCAUGAGGCAGCAACACGGUAAUAAAACCAGAAGAAAAAUCAUUAGCUUAUAUAACCAAGGAUGCGUGACAACCAUGCAUCAGCUCUUGCCGACCCCAUAAAAUAUAGAGAGAGAGGGCGGCAAUGUAGUCGGUUAAUUGGCCCUUGCUACAAUGCUUUACCAUAUGCCUAAUAGAGGCAUUUGAGAUCCUGUUAAUUAAGAGUUGGAAAAUGGCAAAGAGAGUUGCAAAUCCUUCCUCUCUUUCUCUUGCUCCUUGUACAAAAUUUCCUGCAUUGUAACUGAAAGCCCAUCAAGCUAUGGAAGUUGCAGUCAUUUCAGUGGAAAGCAUUAAACCUUCUUCGCCCGUUCAUCAUCUGAAACCUUUCAAGCUUUGCCUUUUAGAUCAGCUUACUCCCACAUCCUAUUCCCCACUCAUUCUCUUCUACCCCACCAUCCAUGCUCAUUUGAAGAGAACCCAGUUCUUAACUCAGCUCAAAUCCGCACUCUCAAAGACUCUAACUCCAUUCUACCCUCUCUCCGGAAGGGUGAAGGACAAUUAUUUCAUCCAUAACUACGAAGAGGGUGUUCCUUUCAUCGAAGCCCGAGUAAAGGGUCAUUUGUCUGAUUUCCUUCAACACCCUCCAAUGGAGUUGCUUAANNNNNNNNNNNNNNNNNNNNNNNNNNNNNNNNNNNNNNNNNNNNNNNNNNNNNNNNNNNNNNNNNNNNNNNNNNNNNNNNNNNNNNNNNNNNNNNNNNNNNNNNNNNNNNNNNNNNNNNNNNNNNNNNNNNNNNNNNNNNNNNNNNNNNNNNNNNNNNNNNNNNNNNNNNNNNNNNNNNNNNNNNCCUAUAUAUAUAUAUAUAUAUAUAUAUAUAUAUAUAGAUAUAUAUAAAUAAAUAAAUGUGUAAAGCAAAAAGAUGUUCUGAUGAUGAUGUAUAUAAGUGUGCUUUGAAAUAUAAGAGAAAAGGGUUUUCUUCCGAUAGCUGUGAAUCUAUUUUCUUUCAUGUCUAUGUUGUCUUCCUUUCUACUUCAUUAAUGUCAGUUUAUGUUUGAUCUAUUUAGCUCCAACAGUGGCAUCAUAGCCCUUCUUCCUACGGGUCCUAUAUUUUUUGUUUGAGUAAUUAAGUCUUCCUCUGUUUUCUUUUUAAUUUCGUUGGUCUCUAAAAAAUGUCAGCAAGCAUUUUCUCCAUUUCAGCUCCUAUUUUUACAGGAGAGAAUUAUGAUUUCUAGGCUGUCAAAAUGACAGCAUUCUUGAAGGCUCAUGAUCUAUGGGAGGUUGUUUCUACAGGUAGAGAACCUGCUCCAUUGCCCGCAGAUCCUACAUUGGCGCAAAUAAAGUAUCAUAAUGAUGAGUGUUCCAAAAAAUUUAAAGCCUUGACAUUCAUCCAUCAAUCUGUUUCAGAUGCAAUUUUUCUGUAACGACCCGGAAAUCGGACCGCUACCGGCGCUAGGAUCCAGAUCGACUUAAGGUCGCCGGGACCCGUAGCAAGCCUAACAUACAUCCUGUAUACCUGUUAAAUCUCAUACAUGAUCAUACAUAUACAUAAAACUGUAAACUUUGUCUUUCAUUUACCAAGCUUAACCUGUGCAUGCAUAAACUCAUAAACAUAAACCUCACACUGAGCCCUCAUCAAAUGCUCCAAUGGGGUAACAUACCAUACACUAAGCUUGGUUAAACAUAACACCAUAACAACAUUAACCCAUUACAUGGAUCAUGUAUAUAAAAAAAGAUUAACCAUACAUACUAGGGUCAAACACAACUCUAAACCUCAAUAAACAUCAUUACAUCACAUGACUGUUCAAUACUUUACAUUACAAAAUUCUCAUGUCCACAACUAACUAUUACAUACAUAAAACCUUCCUACUCUAGCAGACUUCCCGGACUGCCUCGUACCUGCAAACCUGGGGUUAAGGGAAUGGGGUGAGCUAAAAAGUCCAGUGAGCAGAACCAUAAAACAUUAUCAUAAAUCAUGCUUUCAUGGAAUGCAUCACAACACAUACAAUUCACAUCACAUUCUAUUCACUUCUCGGAUGGACUUGUCACCAAUAACCCUCUCAUCCAAUGUGCCCGGCCCUCGACGGAACUCCGCAGGACUUCUAUAAUCAUAACAUAAUGCCAAGACGCGUGGACAUGGGCAGCCCUGGACUUUCAUUAAUCAUCAUAUAUAAAUAAAUGCCAGGACGCAUGGACAUGGGCAGCCUUGGAAUUUCAUUAAACAUCAGACAUAUUGAGGGCAAUGGUUCAUCCAAAAUCCAUCCACAUCAACAACAAUUUAUGCAAUGCAUCAUAUUCGUGAAUUCUAAUGCAACACAACCUAAUAUAUACAUGGCAUUCGUGAUGCAUGAAACAUGUUAAAAACUUUUAUUAUUUUAAACAUAGUUCAGUUCUACUCACCUCUGGCUGACUCUGAUCUACUCUGUAGCAGCUGACUCACUGCUGGGGUCCUUGGUUCCUCGGGUCCGAACCUACACAGGUGGACUCAAAUGAGGGACCAAUAUAAACUAACAAAACUCUAAACAACUCUGCAAAAAUCCCCUUAAAACACCUCAAAACAUUCAUAGAAAUCAUGCAAAGGAAGGCUAAACAGGGCACUUUCGGCGGCAGGUUCGGCGGCCGAAAGUCCCUCCAGAGCUGAAACUCAGUCACUUUCGGCGGCACCUUCGGCGGUCGAAAGUCCCUUCUAGAGACGAAACUCAUGCAUGUUCGGUGGCACCUUCGGCGGCCGAAACUCCCUUCUAGAGCCAAAAGUCCAACUUUCGGGGGCAGGGUUCGGCAGCCAAAAGCUUGCCUCCACAGGCAGGUUCGGCGGCCGAAAGUGCCUUCGGCUGCCGAACCUGAGUUCUUCCAAAGUGGCAGAACUCAGCCAUUCAAGGCAUAAAUGCCUCCCAAACUUUCCAACUCAACCAAAACAUGCAUACUCACUUCCACAAGCACAUAGGGGUCUCAAACUAACUUAAACCCCAACAAAAACGCAUCUAACAGACAUAUACAACAUACAUUGUUCAUAAACUCAACAUUAACCUUAAAAACAAACAACUAACCUAAACAUGCAUUUCUACCCCAUAAACCUCAUAAAACUUGUUUAAAACAUACAAGAAGGGUAGGAUCUAAGCUUACCUCUUGAAGAUCGAGAGGAGAAACGAUCCUUAACUUAGAGGUAGGAGAAAUCUAGCUCCUUAGGUCUCCAAGCUCCACAACUUGAUCUAAGCUCCAAAGACUUCAAAGACCAAGUAAACACUUGUUAAAACUUGAAAGAUUUGAGGAAAAACAUCAAAACCAACCAUGGGAGGGUAUGGACUCACCUCUGGCCGGAAAUGGGAAAGAAAACUCGCCCAUUUUCGGCCAUGGGGCCUCUUAUAGGUGGCUGGCCAGGCCACCUUCGGAAGCCAAAGGUGACUCCAAAACUCAUGCAUGUUCGGCGGCCGAACCUGGAUUUCCCUCCAUAGUCAUUUUCAUUCAAAACUCAAUUUCUUUCUUACUUAAAACCAUAAAAUACAUUAAAACAUUUUAUAAAAACAUGAUUUUACCCUUAUAGAGGUUUUCGACAUCCGAGAUUCCACCGGACGAUAGGAAUUCCGAUACCGGAGUCUAGCCGGGUAUUACAUUCUCCCCUCUUAAGAACAUUUGUCCCCGAAUGUUCCUCAACUAACACAUGUAAAGCAUAUAACAUAACAUACACAUAGAAACACAAAACACUCACCUUAGAAGAGAUAAGGGUACUGCUGGAGCAUAGACUCCCGUGUCUCCCAGGUACAUUCCUCGAUGUUGUGGUGAUUCCAAAGGAGUUUCACCAUCGGAAUUUCCUUGUUCCUCAACUUUCUGAUCUGUGUGUCUAGGAUCCGUACUGGCUGCUCAACAUAGGUGAGAUCUCCUAGGAUCUCUACAUCAGGCUUGCUAAGAACCUUGUCUGGAUCUGACACGAAUUUUCGUAACAUGGAAACAUGGAAAAUCGGAUGGAUUCUUUCCAUUGAAGCAAGUAAGUUCAGCUUGUAUGAUACAUUCCCAAUCUUCUGCAAGAUCUCAAAAGGUCCGAUGUACCGUGGAGCUAGCUUACCUUUCUUCCCAAACCGAAUCACCCCUUUCAUAGGAGACACCUUGAGCAACACCAAAUCUCCCUCCUGAAACUCUAAAUGCCUCCUGCGGACAUCUGCAUAGCUCUUCUGCCGACUAACAGCAGUCUUGAUUCUUUCUCUUAUAAUGGGCACUACCCUGCUGGUGAUCUCUACUAACUCAGGCCUCACUAAGGACCUUUCCCCAACUUCUUCCCAACAGACAGGUGACCUGCACUUCAUCCCAUACAAAGCUUCAUAUGGAGCCAUCCCGAUGCUAGCAUGAUAGCUGUUAUUGUAGGCAAACUCCACCAAGGGUAGAUGCUGCCUCCAAGAACCGCCAAAAUCUAGCACACAUAUUCUGAGCAUAUCUUCUAUAGUCUGGAUGGUCCUCUCUGACUGUCCAUCGGUCUCAGGAUGGAAAGCAGUACUGAAGUCUAGCCUAGUGCCCAUAGCAUUCUGCAGACUCCGCCAAAACCUGGAGGUGAACUGGGGUCCUCUAUCAGACACUAUAGAAACAGGAGCCCCAUGCAACCUGACAACCUCUUCUACAUAGACCUGCGCCAAUUUGUCCACAGAAUAGCCACUCCUGACAGGGAUGAAGUGAGCAGAUUUUGUCAGUCUGUCCACAAUCACUCAUAUGGAGUCUAGUCUGUUGGACGUCGCCGGUAACCCCACCACGAAAUCCAUAGCUAUAUUCUCCCAUUUCCACUCUGGAAUCGGCAAUGGGUUAAGCAUUCCAGCCGGCUUCUGAUGUUCCAGCUUCACCCUCUGACAUACUUCGCAGGCGGACACAAACUGUGCCACUUCUCUUUUUAUAGCUGGCCACCAAUAGACUCUUUUUAGAUUCUAGUACAUUUUGGUGGCUCCAGGGUGAACACUGUAUCUGGCAUUAUGAGCUUCCCUCAUAAUGUCUUCCUUCAGACUCACGUCAUCUGGUACACACAAUCUAUUCCCAAAGCGGAGGAUCCAUUUGCUGUCAAAUCUGAACUCAUCAUUCUUGCCCGACUGAACAGUCCUCGUGCUGUUUCUGAGCCACCUGCUCCAGAAAUACGGGUGUCACUCUCAUCUGGGCUAUCAAAGCACAUGUACCAGACAACUCUAACUGUAGACCUUCAUCAAUGAGCUUGUAGAACUCUCUCACUACCGGUCUCCUCUCUACUGUAAUAUGAGAUAGACUGCCAAGUGACUUCCGGCUUAGGGCAUCUGCCACAAAAUUCGCCUUACCCGGAUGGUACUGAAUCUUGCAAUCAUAAUCACUAAGCAGUUCUACCCAUCUCCUCUGUCUCAAGUUUAACUCUCUCUGACUCAGGAUGUAUUGCAGACUUUUAUGAUCUGUGAAGAUCUCACAUUUAACCCCAUAAAGGUAAUGCCUCCACAUCUUGAGUGCAAAGAUUACAGCUGCCAUUUCUAGGUCAUGUGUAGGGUAAUUCAACUCAUGCUUCUUCAGUUGUCUACAAGCAUAAGCAAUCACCCUUUCAUUCUGCAUCAACACACAACCCAGUCCCACACGGGAUGCAUCACAGAACACUGUGAAGUCUUCAUUACUAGUGGGCAGAGCUAACACCGGUGCUGAUGUCAACCUUUUCUUCAGCUCCUCAAAGCUUUUCCUCACAUUGUUCAGACCACACAAACCUUUGGUUCUUCUUGGUCAAUCUGGUCAUAGGAGCGGCAAUUUUAGAAAAGUCUUGUACGAACCUCCUGUAGUAACCUGCCAAACCCAAGAAGCUCUUGAUCUCUGUUACUGUGGUGGGUCUAGGCUAGUUAGCUACAGCUUCUACCUUUUUGGGGUCCACUUCUAUUCCCUGUUCUGACACCACAUGCCCCAAGAAUGAGAUGCUCCUCAACCAGAAUUCACACUUGGAGAACUUGGCAUACAAGCCAUGUUCCCUCAGGGUCUGCAAAACUGUCCUCAGAUGAUGGGCAUGCUCCUCUGCAUUUCUGGAAUACACCAAGAUAUCAUCAAAGAAGACAAUAACAAAGUGAUCCAGGUACUGACUGAAAACUCUGUUCAUGAGAUCCAUGAAUACUGCAGGGGCAUUGGUUAGCCCGAACGGCAUUACUAGGAACUCAUAGUGCCCAUAUCUAGUCCUGAAUGCCGUCUUCGGCACAUCUUCUUCUCUUAUCCUCAGCUGAUGGUACCCGGAUCUCAGAUCUAUCUUGGAGAAACAACCUGCUCCUGCUAGUUGGUCGAAUAGAUCGUCGAUCCUAGGCAUCUUUCGGCGGCAGGUUCGGCGGCCGAAAGUCCCUUCCAGAGACAAAACUCAUGCAUGUUCGGCGGCACCUUCGGCGGCCGAAACUCCCCUCCAGAGCCGAAAGUCCAACUUUCGGGGGCAGGGUUCGGCAGCCAAAAGCUUGCCUCCACAGGCAGGUUCGGCGGCCGAAAGUGCCUUUGGCUGCCGAACCUGAGUUCUUCCAAAGUGGCAGAACUCAGCCAUUCAAGGCAUAAAUGCCUCCCAAACUUUCCAACUCAACCAAAACAUGCAUACUCACUUCCACAAGCACAUAGGGGUCUAACACUAACUUAAACCCCAACAAAAACGCAUCUAACAGACAUAUACAACAUACAUUGUUCAUAAACUCAACAUUAACCUUAAAAACAAACAAUUAACCUAAACAUGCAUUUUUACCCCAUAAACCUCAUAAAACUUGUUUUAAACAUACAAGAAGGGUAGGAUCUAAGCUUAGCUCUUGAAGAUCGAGAGGAGAAACGAUCCUUAACUUGGAGGUAGGAGAAAUCUAGCUCCUUGGGUCUCCAAGCUCCACAACUUGAUCUAAGCUCCAAAGACUUCAAAGACCAAGUAAACACUUGUUAAAACUUGAAAGAUUUGAGGAAAAACAUCAAAACCAACCAUGGGAGGGCAUGGACUCACCUCUGGCUGGAAAUGGGGAAGAAAACUCGCCCAUUUUCGGCCAUGGGGCCUCUUAUAGGUGGCUGGUCAGGCCACCUUCGGAAGCCAAAGGUGACUCCAAAACUCAUGCAUGUUCGGCGGCCGAACCUGGAUUUCCCUCCAUGGUCAUUUUCAUUCAAAACUCAAUUUCUUUCUUACUUAAAACCAUAAAAUACAUUAAAACAUUUUAUAAAAACAUGAUUUUACCCUUAUAGAGGUUUCCGACAUCCGAGAUUCCAUCGGACGGUAGGAAUUCCAAUACCGGAGUCUAGCCGGGGAUUACAUUUUCCAAGAAUCUUGGGAGCUCAAACAGCCAAGGAGGCAUGGGAUAAGCUAAGAGAUGAAUUCCAAUGAAGUGAAAGAGUUAGAUCAGUCAAGCUUCUAACUCUAAAGAGAGAAUUUGAGAUGUUGAGGAUGAAGGAAGAAGAAACCAUAAAGCAGUAUUCCUCAAAGCUAAUAGAGUUGGUGAAUCAAAUGAGACUUUAUGGUGCUCAAUUUCCUACUAGCCAGGUUGUUGAGAAGAUUCUGAUUAGUCUUCCGGAGAAAUUUGAGUAAAAAAUUUUUGCAAUUGAGGAAUCAUGUGAUCUUAAGACUCUCACGGUUACUAAUUUCAAGUGAAGCAAAAGGGGAAACCAACUCCAAGCAAAAAUGGGAAGAAAUUCUCCCAUGAAAAGCAGGGGAAGAGCAAAUCAGUUGAGAAUUCAAGAAAAGAUGCAAGAAAAGGCAAGUUCCCUCCAUGUAGCAUCUGCAAAAGGACAAAUCACUUGGAAAAAGAUUGUUGACAUAAAGGUAAACCGGUGUUACAAUGUUGGUAUUGUAAAAAGCAUGGCCAUAUUGAAAAAUUCUGCAAAGCAAAGCAAAACAAGGAGCAGCAGGAGAAGUAGCAAUCAACCCAUCACGCUAACUCUAUUGAAAAUCAACAACAAGAAGCUGAAGAGCAUUUGUUUAUAGCCUCUCAUCACUCUUCUUCCUUUUUAAACAGCUCUUGCACAUGGUUUAUUGACAGUGGUUGCACUGUACACAUGGCCAAAGAUGUUGAUUUGUUCUCUUCUCUAGAUUCAUCUAUCAAAACAAAAGUUAAGUUGGCAAAUGGCCAACUAGUGCAAGCUGAAUGCACUCCAGGUCAGGUACAAAGUUUAUUUCUGAAGUGUUGCUUGUUCCUGGCUGGAAUCAGAACUUAUUAAUCGUUGCCCAAUUAUUGAGAAAAAAUUAUUCUAUCUUUUUUAAAGAUGAAUCUUGCAUUAUCUAUGAUUCUACUGGUGCUGAGAUUACUAAAGUCACCAUGAUUGAUAAUUGCUUUCCCUUUGAUAUAACAAAUUAAUGCAUCUCAUCAUGUAUAUAAUGCUGCUGAUGUUGAUGUGAAGUUAUGGCAUAAGAGAUUUGGCCACUUUAAUUUAAGUGCUUUAAAAUCUCUCUCUUCAAUUGAUUUAGUCAAAGACAUGCCUGAGAUCCAUCUAAAUGAUGAUGUGUGCCAAGCUUGCCAACUUGGAAAGAUGCAUAGACAAUCUUUUCCUGUAAAUCAAGUUGUUAGAGCUGGAAAAAAGCUGGAGCUUGUCCACACUAAUGUUUGUGGCCCUAUGUCAGUUCCCUCAAUGAGUGGGAACAAGUAUUUUAUUCUAUUUAUUGAUGAUUUUUCAAAAAUGACAUGGGUCUAGUUUCUAAGUGCCAAAUCUCAAGCAUUCUCUGUAUUCAAGAAAUUUAAAGUUCUAAUAGAAAACCAAUGUGGCAUGAAAAUUAAGACCUUGAGGUCAGAUAAUGGCAUGGAGUAUAACUCUUCGGAGUUUGAGAAGUUCUAUGAAUCAGCUUGUAUUCAACAUCAAUUGACUGUGAGCUCUACACCUCAACAAAAUGGUGCUUCUGAGAGGAGAAACAGAACUAUUGUUGAAAUGGCAAGGUGUAUGUUGGUUGAGAAGAACUUACCAAAGCACUUAUGGGCAGAAACAGUAUUUACAGCUGUUUAUCUCUUAAACAGGCUUCCCACUAAGUCUGUUAAAGGAAUGACUCCAUAUGAAGCUUGGUUUGGUUGGAAAUCAUCUGUUAAACACCUCAAAGUAUUUGGCUCUCCUUGUUAUGUUCAUGUUCCUGAUGUAAAGAGAUCUAAGCUGGAUGAUAAAGCUAUGGUGGGAAUUUUCCUUGGAUAUGCUGCAAAUUCCAAGGGUUAUAGAAUUCUUGAACUAAAAUCUAAUAAGAUAAUGGUUGCAAGGGAUAUGGUGGUGAAUGAGCAAGCUUUUUGGAAUUGGAAGAAGGAAGAGGUUGAGAUGCCUUCAAAUGAUUCUAUUGUAAGAAGACAGCAAGAAGAUGCAAUUUCAGAAUUGCAUGCUUCCUAUGAUGAUGGAAGUGAUUCUGAACUUGGUUCUCCUAAUGUAAAAACCAAGUCAAUUGCUGAAAUUUAUGAAAAAUGUAAUAUGGUGAAUAUGGAGCCAUCUAAUUAUCAAGAGGCAAGCAAGUUUCCUAAAUGGCAGCAAGCUAUGGAAGAUGAAAUGGCUAUGAUUGACAAAAACAAAACGUGGGAACUCAUUGCCGAACCAAAAGAAAAGCAUGUAAUUGGAGUAAAGUGGGUAUUUAGAACAAAACUGAAUCCAAAUGGCACCAUGUUCAAACACAAAGCAAGACUUGUUGUGAAGGGCUAUGCUCAGCUGCCAGGAAUUGAUUUUGGGGAUACUUUUGCUCCAGUAGCAAGACAUGACACCAUCAGACUAUUACUUGCAUUUACAAUUCAAAAAGGAUGGAGGGUAGAUUCCAUCUUGAUGUCAAAUCGGCUUUUUUAAAUGGAUUGCUUCAGGAGGAGAUUUAUGUUCACCAACCUGAAGGAUUUAUUAUUGUUGGACAUGAAGACAAAGUCUAUAAGCUAAAGAAGGCUUUAUACGGAUUAAAACAGGCUCUAAGGGUAUAGUAUUCUAGAAUUGAUGAUUAUUUGAUCCAUCAUGAUUUUAGGAGGAGCUUGAAUGAAGCUACUCUCUUUAUAAGAACAUGUCAAGAUAGAAAUAUCUUAAUUAUUUCUCUAUAUGUUGAUGAUAUGCUUGUUACCGAAAGCUCUUCAGAAUUGAUAAAAGAUUUUAAGCUCCAAAUGCAAAUGGAGUUUGAGAUGUCUGAUCUAGGCUUAAUGAUCUAUUUUUUGGGUAUGAAGAUUGAGCAAUCACAUUCUAGAAUUUUCAUUUCACAAAGAAAAUAUAUAUUUGAUGUCCUUAAAAGGUUCAAUCUGAAUCAAUGCAAAGCUGUGGCAACUCCUCUUGAUCCAAAUAUGAAGCUUAGUAAAGAGGAUGAUGAUUCCAUAAUAGACACUAUAAGUUAUAGAAGUCUAGUUGGGAGUUUGUUAUUCUUAACUUCAACAAGACCUGAUAUUAUGUUCACAGCAAGUUUCUUAGCUAGGUUCAUGAACUCUCCAAGUAAUUCUCAUUUUAUGGCUGCUAAGAGAGUUCUGAAAUAUUUGAAAGGCACCUCUGAUUAUGGUGUGUUGUAUUCGAAGAAUGAAAAUGCAAAACUUGAAGGAUAUGUUGACAGUGAUUGGGCUAGUAGUGCUGAAUAUAUGAAGAGCACUUUAGGUUAUCUAUUUUCUCUUGGAUCAGGUUAAUUUUCUUGGAUUUCUAAUAAAUAAGAAGUUGUUGCUCAGUCUACCGCGGAGGCAAAGUAUAUAGCAGCUGCUGCAACCUCAAAUCAAGCUAUUUGGCUUCGUAGGUUACUUGCUAAUUUUGGAAAUGAUCAACCUGAAGCAACUUUACUGUGGUGUGAAAACAAGUCAGCUAUUGCCAUUGCUAACAAUCCAGUGCAACAUGGUAGGACCAAACACAUCUUAGUCAAGUGUCAUGCAAUCAGAGAAGCUGAAAGAAAUCAAGAAGUGAAGCUAGUGCAUUGCAAAUCUGAGAUGCAGGUUGCUGAUAUCCUCACCAAGGCACUUUCAAAAAACAGGUUUGAAUGUUUGAGAAGCAAGUUGGUAGUUUCUAAAAAAACUCUCAAGGAGGAGUGUUAGAAUUGAGAGUUUUAUCAAUGAAGGUUCCAGAAUAUUUAGUAAAUUAAUUAAGUAUAAUUGUAGUUAAUUCUAGAGAACUUUAGUGGUAUCUUAUCAAGCCACUCUUUUGUUGACAAAUGUAAAAACUAUAAUUUUGCCACCUAAAAUUUUUUGGAACCCUUGUAAUAUCUCUGUAAAUAUAUAUAUAUAUAUAUAAAUGUGUAAAGCAAAAAGAUGUUCUGAUGAUGAUGUAUGUAAGUGUGUUUUGAAAUAUAAGAGAAAAGAGUUUUCUUCCGGUAGCUGUGAGUCUAUUUUCUUUCAUGUCUAUAUUGUCUUCCUUUCUACUUCAUUAAUGUCAGUUUAUGUUUGAUCUAUUUAGCUCCAACAAUUUUAAAUGGCUUUGUCUUUUCUUUACAUUUUCUCCAUGAUUUGGUUUCAUUACAUGAAAUAGAAAAACUUUUGCGAUCUUAUAAUGCAUUUGCCACUAUCAGAUACAAUCGUUCGUUGUAUAUACAAUGAUCAUUAUUAAUUACUAGAUAAGUAAAUAAUUAAAAGAAAAAAUAAUUUUAUAUUAGGCAAAAUUAAAGAGCUUAAAUGAAUAAAAUUUCUAAAAUAAUGAAUAGAUUAAUUUAGUUUGUAAUUUAAAAUUUAAACACAAUCAUAUUAAAUGAAUAAUUGAGAUGAUUGAAAUACAAAUGAAAAUUAAAAAUCAUGCUGCCUAAUGUGAUAGAGCAUAAAUUAGUCUAAUUUAUAUUAAUAUUAUUGAUGAAUAUUUACAUGAUUUCUGCUUAAUUUAGUGCUUUUAAUAUUAUUUUGCAGAAAAUUGUGUAAAAUUUGGAGAAAAUCCCCUAAAACUGUAUUAUUUGGAGCAAAAAAGAGUAAGUCUGCUAAGUGGGAUUCAAGUCGGGCUAAAAUGCAGAAAAUAUUCAAUCCACUUCACUUUAGACGGCCCAUUCCCGCACAUGGACCAGACCAAGCUCACGGGACCGCCCACCAGACCAAGCACGUGGACCGGCCCGCACUCCACAAAUUCACACACAUGGGCCAGCUUCAAAACCUCUUCACAUGGACCUCUUCACAUGGACCAAUCUUCACCAACCUCCACGCAAUGGCCAGCCACUCACGCUGGCCCGCCACUUACGCUCACUCAAGGGGACCGCACUUCAAUUCCACUUCAUAUGGACAGCAUCUUCACUUGCACAUGGCCCACCAAGGCGUUUCCAUUCCGCCACACACAUGGACAGCCAUGACCAAGCACCUCACAUGUGGCCACCAAGGCGUUUCUCUUGCUCCUUGUACUCAAUUUCCUGCAUUGUAACUGAAAGCCCAUCAAGCUAUGGAAGUUGCAGUCAUUUCAGUGGAAAGCAUUAAACCUUCUUCGCCCGUUCAUCAUCUGAAACCUUUCAAGCUUUGCCUUUUAGAUCAGCUUACUCCCACAUCCUAUUCCCCACUCAUUCUCUUCUACCCCAUCCAUGCUCAUUUGAAGAGCACCCAGUUCUUAACUCAGCUCAAAUCCGCACUCUCAAAGACUCUAACUCCAUUCUACC